This 253-nucleotide ribosomal RNA is filed under the name uncultured bacterium. RNAcentral describes it as "partial 16S ribosomal RNA". It matches the Rfam family "Bacterial small subunit ribosomal RNA", at positions 524 to 776 of the family's 1533-position model. The record is from RNAcentral.
UACGUAGGGGGCAAGCGUUGUCCGGAUUUAUUGGGCGUAAAGAGCGUGUAGGCGGCCGUACAGGUCAGCUGUGAAAACUCGAGGCUCAACCUCGAGACGUCGGUUGAAACCGUACGGCUAGAGUCCGGAGGAGGAGAGUGGAAUUCCCGGUGUAGCGGUGAAAUGCGCAGAUAUCGGGAAGAACACCCGUGGCGAAGGCGGCUCUCUGGGACGGUACUGACGCUGAGACGCGAAAGCGUGGGGAGCGAACAGG